GCUGGCGUAGCUCAAUUGGUAGAGCAGCUGAUUUGUAAUCAGCAGGUUGGGGGUUCGAGUCCCUUCGCCAGCU
RNAcentral lists this transfer RNA (73 nucleotides) under Caldithrix abyssi. RNAcentral's name for it is "tRNA-Thr". It matches the Rfam family "tRNA". Rfam says of the family: Transfer RNA (tRNA) molecules are approximately 80 nucleotides in length. Their secondary structure includes four short double-helical elements and three loops (D, anti-codon, and T loops). Further hydrogen bonds mediate the characteristic L-shaped molecular structure. tRNAs have two regions of fundamental functional importance: the anti-codon, which is responsible for specific mRNA codon recognition, and the 3' end, to which the tRNAs corresponding amino acid is attached (by aminoacyl-tRNA synthetases). tRNAs cope with the degeneracy of the genetic code in two manners: having more than one tRNA (with a specific anti-codon) for a particular amino acid; and 'wobble' base-pairing, i.e. permitting non-standard base-pairing at the 3rd anti-codon position. The record is from RNAcentral. RNAcentral also lists the same sequence under 1 other name. Lineage: Bacteria; Pseudomonadati; Calditrichota; Calditrichia; Calditrichales; Calditrichaceae.